This 497-nucleotide ribosomal RNA is filed under the name uncultured bacterium. Its description in RNAcentral is "partial 16S ribosomal RNA". It matches the Rfam family "Bacterial small subunit ribosomal RNA", at positions 28 to 507 of the family's 1533-position model. The record is from RNAcentral.
GAUGAACGCUGGCGGCGUGCCUAAUACAUGCAAGCCGAGCGAACGGACGAGAAGCUUGCUUCUCUGAUGUUAGCGGCGGACGGGUGAGUAACACGCGGAUAACCUACCUAUAAGACUGGGAUAACUUCGGGAAACCGUAGCUAAUACCGGAUAAUAUUUUGAACCGCAUGGUUCAAAAGUGAAAGACGGUCUUGCUGUCACUUAUAGAUGGAUCCGCGCUGCAUUAGCUAGUUGGUAAGGUAACGGCUUACCAAGGCAACGAUGCAUAGCCGACCUGAGAGGGUGAUCGGCCACACUGGAACUGAGACACGGUCCAGACUCCUACGGGAGGCAGCAGUAGGGAAUCUUCCGCAAUGGGCGAAAGCCUGACGGAGCAACGCCGCGUGAGUGAUGAAGGUCUUCGGAUCGUAAAACUCUGUUAUUAGGGAAGAACAUAUGUGUAAGUAACUGUGCACAUCUUGACGGUACCUAAUCAGAAAGCCACGGCUAACUACGUG